RNAcentral lists this ribosomal RNA (1278 nucleotides) under Palaemon paucidens. RNAcentral's name for it is "SSU rRNA". It matches the Rfam family "Eukaryotic small subunit ribosomal RNA", at positions 55 to 1286 of the family's 1831-position model. Lineage: Eukaryota; Metazoa; Arthropoda; Malacostraca; Decapoda; Palaemonidae. The record is from RNAcentral.
AUGUGUCAGUACAGGCCGCUCUAAGGCGAAACCGCGAAUGGCUCAUUAAAUCAGUUAUCAUUCAUUUGAUCCAAACCUACUACUCGGAUAACCCUGGUAAUUCUAGAGCUAAUACGUGACCAUUACAACUCCGACUGGAAGGGAGGAGUGCUUUUAUUAGUUGAAAACCAAGCGGGCCUCGGUCCGUUCACUUUACUGUGAUGACUCUGAAUAACUUUGUGCAGAGAGCACGGUCUCCGCACCGGCUCCGUAUCUUUCGAGUUUCUGCCUUAUCAUGCUGUGGAUUGUAGGCCAUGCGCCUACAGUGGCUGUUACGGGUGACGGAGAAUCAGGGUUCGAUUCCGGAGAGGGAGCCUGAGAAACGGCUACCACAUCCAAGGAAGGCAGCAGGCACGCAAAUUACCCAAUCCCAGCUCUGGGAGGUAGUGACGAAAAAUAACAAUGCGGGACUCUUCCGAGUCUGCGUAAUUGGAAUGAGCACACUUUAAAUCCUUUAGCAACAACCAAUUGGAGGGCAAGUCUGGUGCCAGCAGCCGCGGUAAUUCCAGCUCCAAUAGCGUAUAUUAAAGUUGUUGCGGUUAAAAAGCUCGUAGUUCGAGCUCAGUUCCGGACUGGCCGGGGAGGUCACCGCCCGGUGCUUCCCCGUCAGGCUCCGAACAGCUUCCGUGAGUGGAAGCCAAGCCGGUUCUGCCGGGGUGCUCUUUACCGAGUGUCCCGCGCGGCCGGCCAGUUCACCUUGAAUAAAUGAGAGUGCUCAAAGCAGGCUACUCUCGAAUACAAUGCCCGAAUGUUACCUGCAUGGAAUGAUGGAAGAUGAUCUCGGUUCCAUUUUCUUGGUGGUGGGAGCCAGAGGUAAUGAUAAACAGGGACUGUCGGGGGCAUCCGUACUACGACGCGAGAGGUGAAAUUCAGUGACCGUCGUAGGACGAACAACAGCGAAAGCAUUUGCCAAGAAUGUCUUCGUUGAUCAAGAACGAAAGUUAGAGGAUCGAAGGCGAUCAGAUACCGCCCUAGUUCUAACCCUAAACGAUGCUGACUAGCAAUUCGCCGUCGUUAUUCCCAUGACGUGGCGAGACGCCCCCGGGAAACCUCAAGUCUUUGAGUUCCGGGGGUAGUAUGGUUGCAAAACUGAAACUUAAAGGAAUUGACGGAAGGGCACCACCAGGAGUGGAGCCUGCGGCUUAAUUUGACUCAACACGGGAAACCUCACCAGGCCCGGACACCAGAAGGAUUGACAGAUUAAGAGCUCUUUCUCGAUUUGGUGGGUGGUGGUGCAUG